This 253-nucleotide ribosomal RNA is filed under the name uncultured bacterium. RNAcentral describes it as "partial 16S ribosomal RNA". It matches the Rfam family "Bacterial small subunit ribosomal RNA", at positions 524 to 776 of the family's 1533-position model. The record is from RNAcentral.
UACAUGGGGUGCAAACGUUGCUCGGAAUUAUUGGGCGUAAAGCGCACGUAGGUGGUCUGUUAUGUCAGAUGUGAAAGCCCUCGGCUUAACUGAGGAAGUGCACCUGAAACUGGCAGGCUUGAGUACGAAAGAGGGUCGCGGAAUUCCCGGUGUAGAGGUGAAAUUCGUAGAUAUCGGGAGGAGCACCGGUGGCGAAGGCGGCGACCUGGUUCGAUACUGACACUGAGGUGCGAAAGCGUGGGGAGCAAACAGG